This 84-nucleotide transfer RNA is filed under the name Moraxella sp. Its description in RNAcentral is "tRNA-Tyr". It matches the Rfam family "tRNA". Rfam says of the family: Transfer RNA (tRNA) molecules are approximately 80 nucleotides in length. Lineage: Bacteria; Pseudomonadati; Pseudomonadota; Gammaproteobacteria; Moraxellales; Moraxellaceae. RNAcentral also lists the same sequence under 88 other names. The record is from RNAcentral.
GGUGGGGUUGGGGAGCGGUCAAACCCAACAGACUGUAAAUCUGUCGCGAAAGCUUCGAAGGUUCGAAUCCUUCCCCCACCACCA